RNAcentral lists this ribosomal RNA (1268 nucleotides) under Acanthosiphonia echinata. RNAcentral's name for it is "SSU rRNA". It matches the Rfam family "Eukaryotic small subunit ribosomal RNA", at positions 133 to 1447 of the family's 1831-position model. Lineage: Eukaryota; Rhodophyta; Florideophyceae; Ceramiales; Rhodomelaceae. The record is from RNAcentral.
UACUACUCGGAUAACCGUAGUAAAGCUAGAGCUAAUACGUUCCAUUGCAGCGCGAGUAAUCCGCUCGUGGUACUAAGUAUUAGGUACAACCCAGAUUUUUCUGGUGAUUCAUACUUAUCUUCUGAUCGAACUUCGUGUUCGACGCCUCGAUUAAAUUUCUGACCUAUCAACUAUGAUGGUAAGGUAGGGUCUUACCAUGGUUGUGACGGGUAACGGACCGUGGGUGCGGGAUUCCGGAGAGGGAGCCUGAGAAACGGCUACCACAUCCAAGGAAGGCAGCAGGCGCGCAACUUACCCAAUCCGAACUUCGGGAGGUAGUGACAAAAAAUAUCAAUAGGGGGACCAAUGGUCUUCCUAAUUGGAAUGAAAACAAUGUAAACACCUUAUUGAGGAACCAGCAGAGGGCAAGUCUGGUGCCAGCAGCCGCGGUAAUUCCAGCUCUGUAAGCGUAUACCAAAGUUGUUGCAGUUAAAACGCUCGUAGUCGGAUUUUGGCGUGGUGCUUCUGAGGUCCCUGAUUGGUACUGAAGGUAGUCCCGCCUUUGUGGAUGGGGGCGUGGUGGUGCUUAACUGUAUUGCCGCGUUUCCGCCACUGUUUACUGUGAAAAAAUUAGAGUGUUCAAAGCGAGCGAUUGCCAUGAAUACAUUAGCAUGGAAUAAUAGAAUAGGACCUGAUCCUGUUUUGUUGGUUUGUCGGUAUUAGGUAAUGAUUAAGAGGGACGGUCGGGGGCAUUUGUAUUCCAGGGUUAGAGGUGAAAUUCUUGGAUCCUUGGAAGACAAACAGCUGCGAAAGCGUCUGCCAAGGACGUUUUCAUUGAUCAAGAACGAAAGUAAGGGGAUCGAAGACGAUCAGAUACCGUCGUAGUCUUUACUAUAAACUAUGUGAUCUGGGGAUUAGCCGAGGCCUAUUUGGUUCGGUUAGCACCCUCCGGGAAACCAAAGAUUUUGCAUUCUGGGGGGAGUAUGGUCGCAAGUCUGAAACUUAAAGGAAUUGACGGAAGGGCAUCACCGGGUGUGGAGCCUGCGGCUUAAUUUGACUCAACACGGGAAAACUUACCAGGUCCAGACAUAAUAAGGAUUGACAGAUUGAGAGCUCUUUCUUGAUUCUAUGGUUGGUGGUGCAUGGCCGUUCUUAGUUGGUGGAGUGAUCUGUCUGGUUAAUUCCGUUAACGAGCGAGACCUGGGCGUGCUAAAUAGGGUUCAUUAUUCUUGUAAUAGUGAUUCAACCCUUCUUAGACGGACUGUAGGCUUUUAGCCUAUGGAAGCUCC